CCAGCGUCAUUACAUACUCGUUUUGUUAUAAUUAUGUGUUCUCCAUUUUUGUUAGGCUAAUGUCACACAUUCACGAUCUUGACUCAACGUUAGAAAAUGUCACGCUGCCAGACGUACGUUAAGAUCAUUGUAAAUAGAUCCCCUAAAAUGCCGAUCAUUGCCGACGUCGAAACGACGUUGUCGAGACGUUACUGAGAUGGACAUCCAACGGUGUUGGUUUACUGCCGACGGUGGCAGAUGUCGGGAAGGGCGCUGAGUGUUUAGAAAUUUCCAAAAGUGUCGGCGUGUGACCUGACGUCGGGAGUCAAGAUCGUGAAUAUGUGACACUGGCCUUGGUUCCCUUUGGUGCAUGUGUUCCUCAUAACAGAUUUUACCACACAGUGUUUGGCUGGUGUGUGUUGAGGCUUUGUUCCCUUUUUCCUUACCAUGCAAGGAAGAGAAGUUGCUGCUCGCCCUCAGCAUCAAUUCGGUUGGUCAAAUGCAAGAGGAAUACAGAGGGCCCUACACUGUGUGUGGAGGAUAUUAUCAACGGCAUCCCGAGUAACGACAGCAGCACCCAGCCGGUGGCCACACAAGCGGCACGCAAGAAGCUCUCAGCCCGCCCCUAGAUGCCACCCCGGAUGCCGGCCUGGUGCACCCCCUUGUACGCCUCCUGGAGAGGGCAGACAACCUCGGGUGCUGUCGUAUCGUUCGUCAAGCUGCUCCGCUCGCCGCACACCAACGUAACAUGCAAAGCAAGCCGUGUGGGCGCCGGGAAACACUGCUGGCGAUGGCCCCAAACUCAAAGACUUCGUCAUUAAGGCUGGCAUUGUACAACCUCUUUUGGAACUCAUUGGACCAGAC
Molecule: long non-coding RNA, 843 nt
Organism: Eriocheir sinensis (Chinese mitten crab)
Lineage: Eukaryota; Metazoa; Arthropoda; Malacostraca; Decapoda; Varunidae
Exons: 3
Source: RefSeq, a predicted model, not a curated record